Molecule: long non-coding RNA, 872 nt
Organism: Synchiropus splendidus (mandarinfish)
Lineage: Eukaryota; Metazoa; Chordata; Actinopteri; Syngnathiformes; Callionymidae
Exons: 3
Source: RefSeq, a predicted model, not a curated record
CAGCAGUCCGCCAUUGUGAAGGCCUUGUUGGCUCUUGCAGACGAGGAAGAAUCCAUGUAAACAAACAGAAGUGUGGACCAUCUGAAACCACGUCGAGAUGAUGACGACUGUCAGCAGACGAACUCUUGACCACAUUUAUUCUGCGGUGCUACUGGGCGUGGUGGUGUUGUCUUGGUCCUACGUGAUCUACGCCAGCAGGAUUGCUGCUCACUGGCUGUUGGAAGAGAGGAUCACUUCAGUGCAGCAGGACUGACAGCUAGAAUGGUACUCUUUUGGUCGUCGCGCCGCUCAACAUGACGAAGUCGCGGCGCUCAACAUGACGAACCCCGACACAUGACGCACAGCAGGAGGAGGAGGAAAGAACUUUUGCUCGACUUCCUUCAUUUCUAUUUCCUUGUUCGACUCCCUGUUCAUUUUGCCAACGUUCAUUUAUUUAUUUAUUCCUUACUGUCACUGUGAUGGUUAGGCCUUUGUGUUGGCGUCUUGCUGACAGUCUGACAUGUUCAAACACAGACGGUUCACUUCGCUCUUUUUGUUUUAGUAGUUUCAUUGAGCAGUUGCAGUCAAUGCUUUUAAGUGACGCUUUCAUUUGUUCUUCGCAGCUUUUUGUUGAUGGUCAUCGUUUACAAAAUGUAUUCAAUGAUUUAUUUAAAAAAGCAUUUGUCAUUUUCCUGUGUUCCUAACAUUCACGUUGUAUUUCUCUUGAUGUUUUUUGUCAUUUAUUUAAACUGUCAGUCACUUUUGUAUUGUGGAAAUUUAAAUAUGAAUAAAUGCUGUAUUUUAUAGCACUGUAAAUCUAUCUUUCCAUGAAAGGAAAGCUCAAUUAAUUUUUUUUUAAAUAAAAUACAAGCCCUUAUUUUUUUGUUCCUUCA